AGUUCAUCUGAAAGCAGGCCUCUUUUGGGGUAGUUGGGAUUUAUGGGAAAUGAAAGAACAGCCUUGAUGUCAGAAUAUGUUAAUCAUCUUUUUGUUGUUCAUUUAGCAUUCUGUUUACGUGAUUAUGUUAAGUUACAUGGAGUGACACACCUACCUGUGUUUUCCUUUGCAGGUUCUGUUGCAUGGGAGAAGCUGACAGGGCGUGUGACCGAACCCAGGGUUCUUCCUGCAGUUAGCAAGACCACCCCCUGGACCCACCAGAAGAGCUUCAGAGUUCAAAGUUCUGGAAUAGCCCCCAAACACGAGCAGGGCUGUAGUUUUACUCCCCAUCAAGGAUCAUCCUCUUCAAAGGAACACGGGGAACUAAGUAUUUAAAGUCUUUAAAGUAUACUCCUGUCUGGUGUGAAUCACUACUUGCUUAUAAGUGUUCGAGAGAACAGCUUCCUAUAAGGACCGGUCGGGGGGUGGAGCAGGGGGAGAGGAAUGGACGUGAUAAAAACUGAAGAGUUCUGGGUUUUGUUUUGUUUCUUAGUUAGUGGCUUUUGGUUUCAUUUUGUUUCGUUUUUUUGGCAAAUUUUCCCUUUACAAGGUGAGAAUGACCGGGUGGAGGACAGACCCUUUUUGAUCUUCAGUAAUGGUUUCCAAUGACAGUGGUGCUUCUCAGGUUUGGCUGAGGUAGCACUUGGCAGCGGCUGAACUCCAAAAGCUCUCCCCUCUUCUCUUUUCCAAGAAAAAAAAGUUUUUCAACUUCCAUAUGAAGUUAUCUGGAGCAAUGAUCACAUAACUGGACCUCAAGGCAGAGCACCUUCGAAGGUGAGCUACGGUUAUUUCAUUUAGAGCCAGCCGAGGUAAAAUGUUUUUCUCCAAAGCUGUAAAUGCGUAAAGAUGUGUCCGUGGGGUUUUCUACAUGGUGCGCAUUCAGGGGCUCCCCCAGCAGGGACGGCUCUUAGCACCCGAUGUGGAAACCACCCAUCUCCAGUACUAGUGAGUGAUUAGAACAUGAAAUAGCAUCAAGAAAGCUUCUUGACAAAAUUACUCUUUGUGGACUGAAACAAAGGACACAUUUCCACUAGAACAGAAAUAAAUUUUAAUUCGUUGAAAAGUGCAGCAGUGAACAGGGUCCUUUGAAGGUCACUUUCUAAGUCAGAUGACUGAAAUGACAUAGAACCAGGCAAAGUAACUUCUAGAAACAGAUGAUGCAAACAAAGGAAUUCACAGACUCCAGUGGGAAGAAGGUGGUGGAAAAACUAAAGAACCCAAACAUUCCCAUCUAGUUUCAUUGGUGGGUCAGGUGAAAUACCUUCGCUUAAUAAGGAUCCUGGGACAGUUCUUUCGUUAAAAAAGCACUAGUCCUUAAUUUAGACACUUAAACAUAAAUUUAAGAACACGUUUUAAUACAUUAAGGUAUAACUUCCAUGCCUAAUUAUUUUGUAUUGACCAAAAAAAAAAAAA
Molecule: long non-coding RNA, 1452 nt
Organism: Molossus molossus (Pallas's mastiff bat)
Lineage: Eukaryota; Metazoa; Chordata; Mammalia; Chiroptera; Molossidae
Exons: 2
Source: RefSeq, a predicted model, not a curated record